Molecule: long non-coding RNA, 1138 nt
Organism: Xyrauchen texanus (razorback sucker)
Lineage: Eukaryota; Metazoa; Chordata; Actinopteri; Cypriniformes; Catostomidae
Exons: 3
Source: RefSeq, a predicted model, not a curated record
GUCAGCAGAUUCAGCAUCUGUUUACUCGUCACUAGAGGGCAGAUGUUCCGCGGAUCUACAGGUGUUGUUGUCGCCGCCACUUAUCAUCGAGUGUUUGACCACCGCAGACGGUAAUUAGCGGCUCAGCCUUUCACGUUUGGUGCGAUAACAUCGGCCGGUGACAAUGCGCCCUUAUCCAUCUUCCCGCCAUCAGCGUUCACGGUCCAAUUCCGUUGCACAAACGCCCGCGGAUGUUUUCCUGAUUAAAGCGGCAGAUAGUUGGUGCGUGUGGGCGGGAUGAGCGCGGCGCUCUGGGAGUCUGGUCAAGUGCAAACUACCUCUAAUGCCUCGGGCUUACAUGCCAGGAUGUUUUGGUGAAGAGAAUUUCCUGCUUAGCUUAAGCCAUCAGCCGCCCACAACUAGAACAAGCAGCACAUGGUCUGAGGACACUUGACAGACGUCUCACUGUGGAUGAAGAAUACAUUUUUAAUGUCUAUGCUGUUCGCUGUUAUCUGUCAGCCAAGUCUACAAUGAUCAAACUUCAAAGACUGAAGUCAUUGUGGCUGAUGACCUUGAAGAGCAUCUAACAGAGAUUUAACUCCAUCUGCAAAUGUUUGGAGAGCUGCAAAGGACCACUCGGAUCAGGAGACUUGGAGCAACUACAAACAUUCCAGAGUUGUCUGACACUGAUUCCCCCAUCCCAUGUUAUCCAACAAUAAUGACAAAACAUGCCCAUUUUCAAAAGCAAUAAAUAAAGGCAUAUGCAAAUACUUAGCUGGUGUGCCGGGGAUAUGACAUAGCAUUUGGUAAACUUAAAGCCUGGGUGAACAGUUCUGCUGCUGCUUUGAUGAGCCCAGAACAAAAACAGUGACUGAGCUGUAGAGUUAUUUCUGUUGAUUGCUUUGAUCUGAAAUGUGCAAAUCACUUCUGGAUGAUACUAAACCCUUCUGUGCUACUUUUCAACUUGACAGGGUUUGGUAUCAUUUGCGUGGAAUUUCAAAGCCUCACGUUGCAAUAAAGGAAAUGAUUAUGUUCGUGUUACACAACAAUGCAGAGCGAAAAAUCAGUUUUGCACAGCGAUUAACUGAAACAUAAACAGCUGUAUUGUAUCGGUUGUGAAAAAACAUUAUCGGUCGAUCUCUAUCAUAAACAUAACAUA